UUAGAUAUCAAACUAAUUAACUUACUGGGAGAGCAAAUCUCUUUCUUGGUCUGUGGGGAGUAGCUACAUUGAAGGAUGCUGGGCUUAGGUAUUUGGUGAGAAGGUUAUUGGAGGCAUAAUUGAAUCACAUCCAGAGAGCUCCUGUCUCAGAGGGGUCUAAUCAAGGAUUCUGAUGAUGUGUCCAAUCUGCUGAACCCUACAUUUUUCAUUUUUGCUGAAAAGAUGACUUCAUUCCCCUUCAUCAAGUCACCUUACUGGAGCAGAAGCUAAAGCAAAAUUGUAAAGUUGAUUAUCAGGUUAAAAUUUAUCCUGGACAAACUCAUGGUUUUGUACAUCACAGAAGAGAAGAUAUCAAUCCUAAGGAUAAGACUUAUAUUGAGGAAGGAAGAAAGGAUAUGAUCAACUGGUUGAAUAAAUAUAUUUAAUAGGAGAGCAAAAAAUUAAAUUAUAACAUAAUCAUGUAACAUACUGUAGAGAUUUUUGAUAACACAUUUUAGAAAAUUAGGAGGGAGAGCUUGUUGAAAAAAGCAAACAAUAUUUUAGAUUUUUUUUUUUUUUUUUGGUCAGUAGAUUCUAACUCAAUUUCAUGCUAUAUUCUUUUGAGGCAGUUUCAGAUGUCACUUAGCAGUGUUGUGUCUUAAUAUGCUGUGAAAUAUUUUCCAGUUCCUUGGGUUUUAGUUUUAACACUUGAAAUAAGUUGUACUAAUGGUAGAAUAAUGUUUGCAUGCUAUGGCCACUGUUCAUCUAAGUACCAUGUAAAUCACAUGCCCAAAAUUUAGGGACACAAACGGUUUGUUUGGUGGAACUCAUUCUGAGACACUAGGAUUCUUUAGCUGGUACCCUGGUGGCAGGUAUUUAUUUAACAAGUGACAUUAGUGUGCAAGUCUUGUUUCAAAAUUUGGAGUCUCAGGUUAUUCAGAUUGAGUACUUCUUUCUCACAUUACCUCUGGUCCUGUGAUAUGCUAUAGACAAUUUCCUGAUCAGUUUCAGAAAUCAAAAGUAUAAUACAAAUGGCAAACAGGGCAUUAUUUUGUGGUCUGCAAACCAUGGUUACUGC
This is a long non-coding RNA of Oxyura jamaicensis (ruddy duck), 1057 nucleotides long. RefSeq lists it as uncharacterized. The transcript is spliced from 3 exons. Lineage: Eukaryota; Metazoa; Chordata; Aves; Anseriformes; Anatidae. The record is from RefSeq and is a predicted model, not a curated record.